RNAcentral lists this ribosomal RNA (582 nucleotides) under uncultured Alphaproteobacteria bacterium. RNAcentral describes it as "bacterial SSU rRNA". It matches the Rfam family "Bacterial small subunit ribosomal RNA", at positions 83 to 699 of the family's 1533-position model. The record is from RNAcentral. Lineage: Bacteria; Pseudomonadati; Pseudomonadota; Alphaproteobacteria.
UCUUCGGAUCUAGUGGCAGACGGGUGCGUAACGCGUGGGAACCUGCCCUUUAGUAAGGAAUAACUCAGGGAAACUUGUGCUAAUACCUUAUAAUCCCUUCGGGGGAAAGCUUUAUGCGCUAAUGGAUGGGCCCGCGUUAGAUUAGCUUGUUGGUGAGGUAAUGGCUCACCAAGGCGACGAUCUAUAGCUGGUCUGAGAGGAUGAUCAGCCACACUGGGACUGAGACACGGCCCAGACUCCUACGGGAGGCAGCAGUGGGGAAUAUUGGACAAUGGGGGCAACCCUGAUCCAGCGAUGCCGCGUGAGUGAUGAAGGCCUUAGGGUUGUAAAACUCUUUCGCUAGGGAAGAUAAUGACGGUACCUAGUAAAGAAGAUCCGGCUAACUCCGUGCCAGCAGCCGCGGUAAUACGGAGGGAUCUAGCGUUAUUCGGAAUAACUGGGCGUAAAGCGAGCGUAGGCGGAUUUGUAAGUUGGAGGUGAAAUCCCAGGGCUUAACCCUGGAACUGCCUUCAAAACUACAUUUCUUGAGUUUGGUAGAGGAGAGUGGAAUUCCUAGUGUAGAGGUGAAAUUCGUAGAUAUUA